GAUGAACGCUGGCGGCGUGCUUAACACAUGCAAGUCGAACGGAAAGGCCAGUGCUUGCCCUGGUACUCGAGUGGCGAACGGGUGAGUAACACGUGGGUGAUCUGCCCUGCACUUCGGGAUAAGCCUGGGAAACUGGGUCUAAUACCGGAUAGGACAAUGGUUUGGAUGCCGUUGUGGAAAGUUUUUUCGGUGUGGGAUGAGCUCGCGGCCUAUCAGCUUGUUGGUGGGGUAAUGGCCUACCAAGGCGUCGACGGGUAGCCGGCCUGAGAGGGUGUACGGCCACAUUGGGACUGAGAUACGGCCCAGACUCCUACGGGAGGCAGCAGUGGGGAAUAUUGCACAAUGGGCGCAAGCCUGAUGCAGCGACGCCGCGUGGGGGAUGACGGCCUUCGGGUUGUAAACUCCUGUCGCUAGGGACGAAGCGUAUUUGUGACGGUACCUGGAGAAGAAGCACCGGCUAACUACGUG
This 468-nucleotide ribosomal RNA is filed under the name uncultured bacterium. Its description in RNAcentral is "partial 16S ribosomal RNA". It matches the Rfam family "Bacterial small subunit ribosomal RNA", at positions 28 to 507 of the family's 1533-position model. The record is from RNAcentral.